GUGUUCACUUUGGCAGCACAUAUACUAACAUUGGAACAAUAUAGAGAUUAGCAUGGCUCCUGCACAGGAUGACACGCAAAUUCAUGAAGUGUUCAAUAUUUCU
Molecule: small nuclear RNA, 103 nt
Organism: Artibeus jamaicensis (Jamaican fruit-eating bat)
Lineage: Eukaryota; Metazoa; Chordata; Mammalia; Chiroptera; Phyllostomidae
Source: RefSeq, a predicted model, not a curated record